AGUUAUCUGGUCAUUUACUUGCAUAUCAAUAUAUCCAGUUAUCUGGUCAUUUACUCUACAUUACAAUUUGUGUUUUCAAUAUAACUUAGUAUUCAUAUACUAUAGUUGUGUGUAAAACACUAUCAAGCAAGUUGACUCAGUAUUCAUAUACUGUAGUAAGCUUCAGAGAGUAAUACUUACAUCAUUAUAUCAAUCAAAAUCAUAAUAUCCUUAUAUCAUUACUUGUUCAACCAUUUGUUUAUUUAGCAUUUACAGGUAAUUCCGCAAUCAACCUGUAUAAAUCGAAAAGAGGCUAUUACCCCCCCUUAUAGCCUCGGAUCACGAUCCAACACUUUUGUCUGAUGGGGUGGGCGCACCGCGAGCUUGUGCUCUGCCAGCGCCCUGGGCACGCCACUCAACUCCCCCAGCUCGUCUGCGAACAAGUCCUCGUUCUUCCUGAGGAUCUACUCCAGCUCCCCUUUCAAGUCUCGCAGGAGGUCCUUCCCUAUACGUACCUCGCUCCGGUCGAGGCCGAUUAGGAUCGUGUGGGACACUGGCGCCGGCUUCGUGACGCACUCGCGCGCCGAAUGCGGUAGGCCUUCGUCCGACGUCAUCACCUCGCUGACCGAAUUGAAGUAGCACUCGAGCGCCUUCUUCUAGGAUCCUCUGACCGUGCACACUCCCUCUUCGGUUGGAAAUUUGAGGCACUGGUGGAACGAAGACAUCACCGCCUGGAACUCGUGCAGCGCCGCUCUUCCUAGGAUGGCAUUGUAUCCGGACGUGAAGUUUACCACAGUGAACGUGACUUCGACUGUCCUUGCUUAAGCGUGUCGGCCCAAGGUGACCGGGAUGGAUAUCGUUCCCGCCACCGGAACUUCUGCCUGUCUGAAUCCUCUGAUGGGGGCCCGGCAUGGGAGCAGGUCUGUGCGGGCCAAACCGAGGUCGAUAAAGGCGUUCCAGUACAGUACGUCUAUGGACGCCCCUGUGUCCACCAAGACCCUGUGUAGGCGUACACUGGACUUAUCCCCUCUUUGGAAAAUGGGGGUUAUGACUAACGGGUCGUCGUGGGGCGUAGUGACGUCUUUCAUAUCGUCCUCCGUAAACGAGAUUUCCAUCUUCGUUCGCGGGCGCUUCGUCCCUGUCGUCCGGUCCAAAUCGGACGCGUACCGUCGCCUUUCCCAUGGGUCGUCGCCCCUCGAGGCCCCCCCUCCCACGAUGGUGAGGAUAUCCCCAAUUGCUUCGUCCGCCGGUUCUUGCUUCGGCGCUUGGUGCCCUGUAGGUAUGACCGUCGAAUGUCUCGCUAUCGGGGCGGGGGGGCUCCGGUGGUGGGUUUCAUUUUGUCCAGUACCCUUGUCAGGUUCAGGCAUUCGGCUGUCGUGUGGCCAUUGUCCUCGUGGUAUUCGCAAAACCUGCGGGUGUCCCUGAACGCUGUCGUGUCCUUCCUCAUCGGCCUUGGCGGGGUAGGGUUCCCGUUCCGCUCAACGUGAGGAAGACCUGCCUUUGAUUCGCCGCCGGGGUAAGGCCUGCUUCCCUUCGUCCCGCCCCCGUGGGGAUGCCUGUCCUGUAUGCGGCCGCCUGUGGGACGACCGGGGGCUUGGUCUGCGGCUGCUGUUGCUGGGGUUGGUUCUGCUGUUGCCCCCCCGCGCCCGCGGAGGUGUCUUUCCCCCUCUGAUGCCGCCUGCACUCCUGGAUCUUCGCUCCCAGGUAGUCCUCUACAUUGCAUUCUCCAUGGGAUCUUUCCAUGGCUUCGGCGAAAGUGCUUGGCGGCUUUCGCACCAGGUCCCCCGCGAAGAAGGUGAGUCGGAGGUUAUUCGUGACGGCGUAUAGCACCACCUCUUCCGAGAUUCCCUCGAUCUUUUGCACCUCGCUCGCGAACCGAUCCAUGUACGUGUGUGUGCUCUCCGCCUCUCCCUGCGCGAUGGCACUGAGGGUAGCUUUGAUUUUGGGUCUCCUCCGACGGUGUGCGAAGGCCGCCCGGAACACCGCCACCAGGCCUUCGUAGGUAUGCACGGACCCUGCCGGCAGCGUCCUGUACCAAGCUAUCGCGUCGCCCGUCAAGGCUCUGCGGAACAUCUGGCACCAAAUGUCCUUUCUGCCCGUCCUGUCCUCCAUGUUUGUCUUGAACGAAUGAAGAUGAUCCUCUAAGUCCGUGUCUCCCUUGUAAUACGGGAUCUUUGGGGCCCUCCAGCCCAGGGCGUAUUCCUCGUCUAGCAAGUGUUGUGCUAGAGCUUCUCCGCCCGCUCCCCCUACCGCCGGUACCGUAAUGACUCCCGGGGUUUCCGCAGGUUGGGCGUCGUUCCCGGGUCCCCCGACCGGGGGGACCGGUCCCCCGGUCCGUACAUUGGGUCGCCUCCUCCACCCCCGUCCGACUCCAAGGUGCGGGGGGUUACCGUGAGCUGGUGUACCUGCUCCUGCAGCUGGCGCUGGCUCUCCUGUAAGGUGGAUAUUAGUUCCACGAGUUGCACCCUCUCUCGCUUGUUCUCCCUUUCCGCGCGCUCCCUCUCCUCUGCGUGCUCCCUUCGACGGAGCCUCUCGUGCUCCUUUUCCUUCGUUCUACUCUCCCUUCUCUCCCGGGACCGCGACCGGGACCGCGUGCUCCUAUCCCUGGGCGGGGGUGCGGGCCCGCUACGUCUGCUCCUCCUGGGCGACUCCCACCCGUACCUUAUUUCCUCCAAUUCCAUGCGUAACCUUUCCUCCUGGGCGUCCCACUCCUCGUUGGCUCUCAUCUCCUCCGAGUACCGGUCCCGCGAGUGGUGCGGCACCGGCCGGUAUUCCAACGCCCCUCGCUCGCGUCGCCUCGAGCAUUCUCCUACCUGGUAUUCUCUUCUUCCUGUCAUCCUCCUUCUCCUCUCCGGCUGUUGCGUGUUCGUUCACGUCAGAUUUACCACUGUUGGUGUGUGAGCUCGCCGGAGUAAGCUCGCCGUCGAACCUAGUACAAGUGUUCCUCCAAGAAUUAUCAACCCCCUCCCCUGCAGGGGAGGUAUUUAUAGCCUUCCAUUGUUGUCCUUGGGCCUCGUGGGUUCGCCCGUCGGGCCCAUUCGUUCGCCCGGGCCGCCGACGGGGCUGGUUCGGUCCAUGGGUCGCGGUCCAUAGUACCAACACAACCCUAGGCGUGCCAACGUUUCUCUUGUUGCUGAUUCUCCAAACAUCGCGCUGCUUCAUCUCUCUAUUUGUGAUUGUUCAUUCUAACUCGUUUAUCUUCUUCUAAUCUUUCAUAUCAGUCUCAUAUUAUCAACUUCUUCAAAUUUCAUAUAAUAGCCUAUUUUUCAAUGUAAAAACUAUCUGUAAUAUAUAAUAACCUAUUUUAUAACUGAAAUUGGAACUGCGUACAUGAUUACACGAUCAUGAUUAGAAUGGAAACUGAAACUGAAAUUGGAAACUAAAACUGUAAAAGAUAAUUAAGUGUUUAGUUAUACUAACACUCUCUGAUUUAAUUUAAUUUUGACAGAGGCUUUAAUUCAGAUUUGAGACUACGGUGAAGGCAGUCACAUAAUCCUUCAAAGCCGGAGGUGAGCGUCUGCAACUUGCUCCACUGGCUCGGAUGUACUCCCCUCCAUAUCAAUCUCCCACAU
RNAcentral lists this long non-coding RNA (3551 nucleotides) under Zostera marina. RNAcentral describes it as "long non-coding RNA (ZMAR_LNC000735)". The record is from RNAcentral. Lineage: Eukaryota; Viridiplantae; Streptophyta; Magnoliopsida; Alismatales; Zosteraceae.